UGGGGAAUAUUGGGCAAUGGACGAAAGUCUGACCCAGCAACGCCGCGUGAAGGAAGAAGGCUUUCGGGUUGUAAACUUCUUUUAAGGGGGAAGAGUAGAAGACGGUACCCCUUGAAUAAGCCACGGCUAACUACGUGCCAGCAGCCGCGGUAAUACGUAGGUGGCAAGCGUUGUCCGGAUUUACUGGGUGUAAAGGGUGCGUAGGCGGUUUGAUAAGUUAGUGGUCAAAUGUCAGGGCUAAACCUUGGCUUGCCAUUAAAACUGUCAGACUCGAGUACAGACGAGGUAGGCGGAAUAAGUUAAGUAGCGGUGAAAUGCAUAGAUAUAACUUAGAACUCCGAUAGCGAAGGCAGCUUACCAGACUGUCACUGACGCUGAUGCACGAGAGCAUGGGUAGCAAACA
This 403-nucleotide ribosomal RNA is filed under the name uncultured bacterium. RNAcentral describes it as "bacterial SSU rRNA". It matches the Rfam family "Bacterial small subunit ribosomal RNA", at positions 355 to 774 of the family's 1533-position model. The record is from RNAcentral.